UACGAAGGGGGCUAGCGUUGCUCGGAAUCACUGGGCGUAAAGGGUGCGUAGGCGGGUCUUUAAGUCAGGGGUGAAAUCCUGGAGCUCAACUCCAGAACUGCCCUUGAUACUGAAGAUCUUGAGUUCGGGAGAGGUGAGUGGAACUGCGAGUGUAGAGGUGAAAUUCGUAGAUAUUCGCAAGAACACCAGUGGCGAAGGCGGCUCACUGGUCCGGUUCUGACGCUGAGGCGCGAAAGCGUGGGGAGCAAACAGG
This 253-nucleotide ribosomal RNA is filed under the name uncultured bacterium. RNAcentral's name for it is "partial 16S ribosomal RNA". It matches the Rfam family "Bacterial small subunit ribosomal RNA", at positions 524 to 776 of the family's 1533-position model. The record is from RNAcentral.